This is a long non-coding RNA of Chiroxiphia lanceolata (lance-tailed manakin), 181 nucleotides long. RefSeq lists it as uncharacterized. Lineage: Eukaryota; Metazoa; Chordata; Aves; Passeriformes; Pipridae. The record is from RefSeq and is a predicted model, not a curated record. The transcript has 3 exons.
CGCCGGGACGCCGCGGACGAGGGGCUGCAUGGCCGGGGGGGGCUGUGGGGGCCGCCCCGUCCUCCGCGGGGCACCCCCCGGCGCUGGGUGCCGGCGGCCGUGGCGGCUCCUGCUCCUGGCCUGGCUCAGCCUGGUUGGCACGGCACAGGACCCAGCCCUGGGCACACCAGCAAGGGUCCCC